GCGGGUGUAGUUCAGUAGUAGAACGCUUCCUUGCCAAGGAAGAGGCCGUGGGUGCGAAUCCCAUCACCCGCUCCA
Molecule: transfer RNA, 75 nt
Rfam family: tRNA
About the family: Transfer RNA (tRNA) molecules are approximately 80 nucleotides in length. Their secondary structure includes four short double-helical elements and three loops (D, anti-codon, and T loops).